GGGAGCUUAGCUCAGCUGGGAGAGCAUCUGCCUUACAAGCAGGGGGUCACAGGUUCGAUCCCUGUAGCUCCCACCA
Molecule: transfer RNA, 76 nt
Filed under: Clostridiales bacterium
Lineage: Bacteria; Bacillati; Bacillota; Clostridia; Eubacteriales
Also listed under: 2 other names
Description: tRNA-Val
Rfam family: tRNA
About the family: Transfer RNA (tRNA) molecules are approximately 80 nucleotides in length. Their secondary structure includes four short double-helical elements and three loops (D, anti-codon, and T loops). Further hydrogen bonds mediate the characteristic L-shaped molecular structure. tRNAs have two regions of fundamental functional importance: the anti-codon, which is responsible for specific mRNA codon recognition, and the 3' end, to which the tRNAs corresponding amino acid is attached (by aminoacyl-tRNA synthetases). tRNAs cope with the degeneracy of the genetic code in two manners: having more than one tRNA (with a specific anti-codon) for a particular amino acid; and 'wobble' base-pairing, i.e. permitting non-standard base-pairing at the 3rd anti-codon position.
Source: RNAcentral